CCUACGGGAGGCAGCAGUGAGGAAUAUUGGUCAAUGGGCGGGAGCCUGAACCAGCCAAGCCGCGUGAGGGAAGAAGGUACAGCGUAUCGUAAACCUCUUUUGUCAGGGAACAAAGGCGGGGACUAGUCCCCGGAUGAGGGUACCUGAAGAAAAAGCAUCGGCUAACUCCGUGCCAGCAGCCGCGGUAAUACGGAGGAUGCGAGCGUUAUCCGGAUGUAUUGGGGUUAACGGGUGCGCAGGCGGCCUGUUAAGUCAGCGGUAAAAGGCCGGGGCUCAACCCCGGCGAGCCGUGGAAACGGGCGUGCGGGAGUUGGAGAGAAGUACGCGGAAUGCGCGGUGUAGCGGUGAAAUGCUUAGAUAUCGCGCAGAACCCCAAUUGCGAAGGCAGCGUACCGGCUCCACACUGACGCUGAGGCACGAAAGCGUGGGUAUCGAACAGGAUUAGAUACCCCUGUAGUC
This 459-nucleotide ribosomal RNA is filed under the name uncultured bacterium. RNAcentral describes it as "partial 16S ribosomal RNA". It matches the Rfam family "Bacterial small subunit ribosomal RNA", at positions 338 to 795 of the family's 1533-position model. The record is from RNAcentral.